RNAcentral lists this ribosomal RNA (507 nucleotides) under uncultured bacterium. RNAcentral's name for it is "bacterial SSU rRNA". It matches the Rfam family "Bacterial small subunit ribosomal RNA", at positions 445 to 953 of the family's 1533-position model. The record is from RNAcentral.
AUGAAUAAAUCAUGAGGUUGGACGGUACCUCUCGAUAACAAACACCGAGCUAACUACGUGCCAGCAGCCGCGGUAAUACGUAGGGUGCGAGCGUUAAUCGGAAUUACUGGGCGUAAAGCGUGCGCAGGCGGUUUUGUAAGUCGGAUGUGAAAUCCCCGGGCUCAACCUGGGAACUGCGUUCGACACUGCAAGGCUAGAGUGUGUCAGAGGGGGGUAGAAUUCCACGUGUAGCAGUGAAAUGCGUAGAGAUGUGGAGGAAUACCAAUGGCGAAGGCAGCCCCCUGGGAUAACACUGACGCUCAUGCACGAAAGCGUGGGGAGCAAACAGGAUUAGAUACCCUGGUAGUCCACGCCCUAAACGAUGUCAACUAGUUGUUGGUAGAGUAAAAUCUAUGAGUAACGUAGCUAACGCGUGAAGUUGACCGCCUGGGGAGUACGGUCGCAAGAUUAAAACUCACAGGACUUGACGGGGGCCCGCACAAGCGGUGGAUUAUGUGGAUUACUCCG